AUUGAACGCUGGCGGCAUGCUUUACACAUGCAAGUCGAACGGCAGCGCGGGCUUCGGCCUGGCGGCGAGUGGCGAACGGGUGAGUAAUACAUCGGAACGUGCCCAGUAGUGGGGGAUAGCUCGGCGAAAGCCGGAUUAAUACCGCAUACGACCUGAGGGUGAAAGCGGGGGAUCUUCGGACCUCGCGCUAUUGGAGCGGCCGAUGGCAGAUUAGCUAGUUGGUGGGGUAAAGGCCUACCAAGGCGACGAUCUGUAGCUGGUCUGAGAGGACGACCAGCCACACUGGGACUGAGACACGGCCCAGACUCCUACGGGAGGCAGCAGGGGGGAAUUUUGGACAAUGGGCGAAAGCCUGAUCCAGCAAUGCCGCGUGUGUGAUGAAGGCCUUCGGGUUGUAAAGCACUUUUGGCGGGAACGAAAAGGACUGUGCCAAUACCACGGUUCGAUGACGGUACCCGCAGAAUAAGCACCGGCUAACUACGUG
RNAcentral lists this ribosomal RNA (484 nucleotides) under uncultured bacterium. Its description in RNAcentral is "partial 16S ribosomal RNA". It matches the Rfam family "Bacterial small subunit ribosomal RNA", at positions 29 to 507 of the family's 1533-position model. The record is from RNAcentral.